This 72-nucleotide transfer RNA is filed under the name Capra hircus (goat). It matches the Rfam family "tRNA". From Rfam's summary of the family: Transfer RNA (tRNA) molecules are approximately 80 nucleotides in length. Their secondary structure includes four short double-helical elements and three loops (D, anti-codon, and T loops). Further hydrogen bonds mediate the characteristic L-shaped molecular structure. tRNAs have two regions of fundamental functional importance: the anti-codon, which is responsible for specific mRNA codon recognition, and the 3' end, to which the tRNAs corresponding amino acid is attached (by aminoacyl-tRNA synthetases). tRNAs cope with the degeneracy of the genetic code in two manners: having more than one tRNA (with a specific anti-codon) for a particular amino acid; and 'wobble' base-pairing, i.e. permitting non-standard base-pairing at the 3rd anti-codon position. The record is from Rfam by way of RNAcentral. Lineage: Eukaryota; Metazoa; Chordata; Mammalia; Artiodactyla; Bovidae. RNAcentral also lists the same sequence under 1 other name.
UCCCUGAUGGUCCAGUGGCUAAGAUUCUGCACUCUCAGUGCAGGGGUGUGGGUUCAAUCCCUGGUCAGGGAA